RNAcentral lists this ribosomal RNA (253 nucleotides) under uncultured bacterium. RNAcentral's name for it is "partial 16S ribosomal RNA". It matches the Rfam family "Bacterial small subunit ribosomal RNA", at positions 524 to 776 of the family's 1533-position model. The record is from RNAcentral.
UACGUAGGGGGCAAGCGUUGUCCGGAAUUAUUGGGCGUAAAGCGCGCGUAGGCGGUUACUCAAGUCGGAUGUGAAAGCCCUCGGCUUAACUGAGGAAGUGCACCCGAAACUGAGUAGCUAGAGUACCAAAGAGGGUCGCGGAAUUCCCGGUGUAGAGGUGAAAUUCGUAGAUAUCGGGAGGAACACCGGUGGCGAAGGCGGCGACCUGGGUGGAUACUGACGCUGAGGCGCGAAAGCGUGGGGAGCAAACAGG